RNAcentral lists this ribosomal RNA (253 nucleotides) under uncultured bacterium. Its description in RNAcentral is "partial 16S ribosomal RNA". It matches the Rfam family "Bacterial small subunit ribosomal RNA", at positions 524 to 776 of the family's 1533-position model. The record is from RNAcentral.
UACGUAGGGUGCUAGCGUUGUCCGGAUUUAUUGGGCGUAAAGAGCUCGUAGGCGGUCUGUCGCGUCGAAUGUGAAAACCCGGGGCUCAACUCCGGGCUUGCAUUCGAUACGGGCAGGCUAGAGUUCGGUAGGGGAGUCUGGAAUUCCUGGUGUAGCGGUGAAAUGCGCAGAUAUCCGCAGGAACAUCCGAGGCGAAAGCGGCUUGCUGGAUCGCAACUGACGCUGAGGGACGAAAGCUAGGGGAGCAAACAGG